GCGUGGGUGAAGAAGGCCUUAGGGUUGUAAAGCCCUUUCACCGGGGAAGAUGAUGACGGUACCCGGAGAAGAAGCCCCGGCUAACUCCGUGCCAGCAGCCGCGGUAAGACGGAGGGGGCUAGCGUUGUUCGGAAUUACUGGGCGUAAAGGGCGCGUAGGCGGCUCACCGAGUCAGGUGUGAAAGCCCCGGGCUUAACCCGGGAAUUGCACUUGAUACUGGUGAGCUCGAGUCCGGGAGAGGAUAGUGGAAUUCCCAGUGUAGAGGUGAAAUUCGU
Molecule: ribosomal RNA, 275 nt
Filed under: uncultured bacterium
Lineage: Bacteria
Description: partial 16S ribosomal RNA
Rfam family: Bacterial small subunit ribosomal RNA
Source: RNAcentral